Molecule: ribosomal RNA, 791 nt
Filed under: uncultured archaeon
Lineage: Archaea
Description: bacterial SSU rRNA
Rfam family: Archaeal small subunit ribosomal RNA
Source: RNAcentral
UUCCGGUUGAUCCCGCCGGAGGCCAUUGCUAUCGGAGUCCGAUUUAGCCAUGCUAGUCGUGCGAGUUCAGACUCGCGGCACCGAGCUCAGUAACACGUGGCCAAACUACCCUACAGAGACGGAUACCCUCGGGAAACUGAGGUUAACCCGUCAUACCGAUCUCAAGCUUGAAUCGCAGAGAUCACAAAAUGCCCCGGCGCUGUAGGAUGUGGCUGCGGUUGAUUAGGUAGACGGUGGGGUAACGGCCCACCGUGCCAAUAAUCGGAACAGGUUGUGAGAGCAAGAACCUGGAGACGGCAUCUGAGACAAGAUGCCGGGCCCUACGGGGCGCAGCAGGCGCGAAACCUUUACACUGCACGCACGUGCGAUAAGGGGACUCCGAGUGCGAGGGCAUAUCGUCCUCGCUUUUGUGUACCGUAGGGUGGUACACGAACAAGGGCUGGGCAAGACCGGUGCCAGCCGCCGCGGUAAUACCGGCAGCCCGAGUGAUGGCCGAUCUUAUUGGGCCUAAAGCGUCCGUAGCUGGGUCUGAAAGUCCAUCGGGAAAUCCACUCGCUCAACGAGUGGCCGUCCGGUGGAAACUCCACACCUUGGGACCGGAAGGCUCGAAGGGUACGGCCGGGGUAGGAGUGAAAUCCUGUAAUCCCGUCCGGACCACCGAUGGCGAAAGCACUUCGAGAAAACGGAUCCGACAGUGAGGGACGAAAGCUAAGAUCGCGAACCGGAUUAGAUACCCGGGUAGUCUUAGCCGUAAACAAUGUUCGUUAGGUAUGACACAGACUACGCGUCUC